GACGAACGCUGGCGGCGUGCUUAACACAUGCAAGUCGAACGGAAAGGCCUCUUUCGGGGGGUACUCGAGUGGCGAACGGGUGAGUAACACGUGAGUAACCUGCCCUUGACUUUGGGAUAACUUCAGGAAACUGGGGCUAAUACCGGAUAGGAGCUCCUGCUGCAUGGUGGGGGUUGGAAAGUUUCGGCGGUUGGGGAUGGACUCGCGGCUUAUCAGCUCGUUGGUGGGGUAGUGGCUUACCAAGGCUUUGACGGGUAGCCGGCCUGAGAGGGUGACCGGCAACAUUAGGGAUGAGAGACGGCCCAGACUCCUACGGGAGGCAGAAGUGGAGAAUAGUGCACAAUGGGUGGAAGCCUGAUGCAGCAACGCCGUGUGCGGGAUGACGGCCUUCGGGUUGUAAACCGCUUUCGCUCAUGACGAAGCUUUGUGUGACGGUAGUGGGUAAAGAAGCACCGGCUAACUACGUG
RNAcentral lists this ribosomal RNA (467 nucleotides) under uncultured bacterium. RNAcentral's name for it is "partial 16S ribosomal RNA". It matches the Rfam family "Bacterial small subunit ribosomal RNA", at positions 28 to 507 of the family's 1533-position model. The record is from RNAcentral.